UUGAGGGCGAUCUGGCUGCAACAUCUGUCAUCCCAUUGAUCGCCAGGGUUGAUUGAUUCAGCUGAUCUGGCUGGCUAGGCAGGUGUCCCCUUCCUCCCUCACCACUCUUGAAGCUGCAUGCUUGGUGGAAGAGGACAACCUUCCCUGAAUAGAGGAGGACUGGUCUUCUGUCAAGGGUAUAGCUGCGCUCCCUUGCUAGAACCUCCAAACAAGCUCUCAAGAAUGUUUAUAUUUUAAAAAGCCCCGACAUGACAUUAUGAGAUAAAGAACCUCCAAAGAUGCCAUUGAGUUCAUUU
This 296-nucleotide small nuclear RNA is filed under the name Neotoma lepida (desert woodrat). Its description in RNAcentral is "7SK RNA". It matches the Rfam family "7SK RNA". From Rfam's summary of the family: 7SK was discovered as an abundant small nuclear RNA in the mid-70s but a possible function has only recently been suggested. Two independent studies have found that 7SK RNA binds the CDK9/cyclin T complex (known as elongation factor P-TEFb). Lineage: Eukaryota; Metazoa; Chordata; Mammalia; Rodentia; Cricetidae. The record is from Rfam by way of RNAcentral.